RNAcentral lists this ribosomal RNA (680 nucleotides) under uncultured Bacilli bacterium. RNAcentral describes it as "bacterial SSU rRNA". It matches the Rfam family "Bacterial small subunit ribosomal RNA", at positions 56 to 719 of the family's 1533-position model. The record is from RNAcentral. Lineage: Bacteria; Bacillati; Bacillota; Bacilli.
UGCAAGUAGAACGCUGAAGAGAGGAGCUUGCUCUUCUUGGAAGAGUUGCGAACGGGUGAGUAACGCGUAGGUAACCUGCCUUGUAGCGGGGGAUAACUAUUGGAAACGAUAGCUAAUACCGCAUAACAAUGGGUGACCCAUGUCAUUCAUUUGAAAGGGGCAACUGCUCCACUACAAGAUGGACCUGCGUUGUAUUAGCUAGUAGGUGAGGUAACGGCUCACCUAGGCGACGAUACAUAGCCGACCUGAGAGGGUGAUCGGCCACACUGGGACUGAGACACGGCCCAGACUCCUACGGGAGGCAGCAGUAGGGAAUCUUCGGCAAUGGGGGCAACCCUGACCGAGCAACGCCGCGUGAGUGAAGAAGGUUUUCGGAUCGUAAAGCCCUGUUGUAAGUCAAGAACGAGUGUGAGAGUGGAAAGUUCACACUGUGACGGUAGCUUACCAGAAAGGGACGGCUAACUACGUGCCAGCAGCCGCGGUAAUACGUAGGUCCCGAGCGUUGUCCGGAUUUAUUGGGCGUAAAGCGAGCGCAGGCGGUUUGAUAAGUCUGAAGUUAAAGGCUGUGGCUCAACCAUAGUUCGCUUUGGAAACUGUCAAACUUGAGUGCAGAAGGGGAGAGUGGAAUUCCAUGUGUAGCGGUGAAAUGCGUAGAUAUAUGGAGGAACACCGGUGGCGAA